Pelobates cultripes (western spadefoot toad) is the source of this 329-nucleotide non-coding RNA. The record is from the annotation of a GenBank genome assembly. Lineage: Eukaryota; Metazoa; Chordata; Amphibia; Anura; Pelobatidae.
GGAACAUUUUGGACAUCCCCACAAUAAUCCCAGCAUGCAUCACAGUUCCCUCCCCUCUGCUCGGGGGAUAAUUGGGAAGUAACUCAAUUAUCUCCCCGAGCAGAGGCAAUCGCCAUUUUAAACACAAGUCACAAAAACACAUAAAAAUCCAUAACUACAUAACUGCCGAACAUAUUACAUUCGUAUUGCAUAUCCCCAGAUAGCCUGGAUCUGAGUGCACAUUAUUGGAGAAUAGCGCUCAGAUCCCAUUCGCACAGUUCAAUCACCAUGGAGUCAAAGUCUCUUUCAGUUCGUCGGUAUGCGAUUGACUCCAUGGGACGGCUAUCUGG